Molecule: ribosomal RNA, 253 nt
Filed under: uncultured bacterium
Lineage: Bacteria
Description: partial 16S ribosomal RNA
Rfam family: Bacterial small subunit ribosomal RNA
Source: RNAcentral
UACGGAGGGUGCAAGCGUUAUCCGGAUUCACUGGGUUUAAAGGGUGCGUAGGCGGAUAGGUAAGUCCGUGGUGAAAUCCUGCAGCUUAACUGCAGAACUGCCGUGGAUACUAUCUAUCUUGAAUAUCGUGGAGGUUAGCGGAAUAUGUCAUGUAGCGGUGAAAUGCUUAGAUAUGACAUAGAACACCCAUUGCGAAGGCAGUUCACUAAAUUGUAACUGACGCUGAGGCACGAAAGCGUGGGGAUCAAACAGG